AUUGAACGCUGGCGGCAGGCCUAACACAUGCAAGUCGAACGAGUGGCGGACGGGUGAGUAAUGUCUGGGAAACUGCCUGAUGGAGGGGGAUAACUACUGGAAACGGUAGCUAAUACCGCAUACCAUCGGAUGUGCCCAGAGGGGAUUAGCUAGUAGGUGGGGUAACGGCUCACCUAGGAGACGAUCCCUAGCUGGUCUGAGAGGAUGACCAGCAAACCUGGAACUGAGACACGGUCCAGACUCCUACGGGAGGCAGCAGUGGGGAAUAUUUGACAAUGGGCGCAAGCCUGAUGCAGCCAUGCCGCGUGUAUGAAGAAGGCCUGCGGGUUGUAAAGUACUUUCAGCAGGGAGGCGUUACCCGCAGAAGAAGCACCGGCUAACUCCGUGCCAGCAGCCGCGGUAAUUC
RNAcentral lists this ribosomal RNA (406 nucleotides) under uncultured bacterium. RNAcentral's name for it is "partial 16S ribosomal RNA". It matches the Rfam family "Bacterial small subunit ribosomal RNA", at positions 30 to 526 of the family's 1533-position model. The record is from RNAcentral.